This 442-nucleotide ribosomal RNA is filed under the name uncultured bacterium. RNAcentral's name for it is "partial 16S ribosomal RNA". It matches the Rfam family "Bacterial small subunit ribosomal RNA", at positions 338 to 795 of the family's 1533-position model. The record is from RNAcentral.
CCUACGGGAGGCAGCAGUGGGGAAUAUUGGGCAAUGGGCGCAAGCCUGACCCAGCAACGCCGCGUGAAGGAAGAAGGCUUUCGGGUUGUAAACUUCUUUUCAGGGGGAAGAGCAGAAGACGGUACCCCUUGAAUAAGCCACGGCUAACUACGUGCCAGCAGCCGCGGUAAUACGUAGGUGGCAAGCGUUUUCCGGAUUUACGGGGUGUAAAGGGCGUGCAGCCGGAGAGACAAGUCAGAUGUGAAAUCCACGGGCUCAACCCGUGAACUGCAUUUGAAACUGUUUCCCUUGAGUGUCGGAGAGGUAAUCGGAAUUCCUUGUGUAGCGGUGAAAUGCGUAGAUAUAAGGAAGAACACCAGUGGCGAAGGCGGAUUACUGGACGAUAACUGACGGUGAGGCGCGAAAGCGUGGGGAGCAAACAGGAUUAGAUACCCGGGUAGUC